CACAACCAAAGGCAUGAGUGAGCCCAGUGGCUGUACACCAAAGUUAAUCACCAGCCUGGUUUCCAACAGCAUAGAUUUGGUUUCUCCAUGUUUGUAAAUGAAAUCAUACAGCUUGUCCUCUUUUGCGUCUGGCUUCUUUUACUGAAAGGUACUUGCUGUCAUACCAGGCUCCUAUUAACUUCAACAGGGAUGGCGCCGGGUUCAAGAGGCUGAAGAAGAGACCCAGAGCCAGCAAAUGAGACAGAGGGUUUCAUUAGCAGGAAACUUAUAUGCAGGGAUGGUCCGG
This 286-nucleotide long non-coding RNA is filed under the name Homo sapiens (human). Its description in RNAcentral is "HSALNT0286875". Lineage: Eukaryota; Metazoa; Chordata; Mammalia; Primates; Hominidae. The record is from RNAcentral.